GCGGGCAUGGCGGAAUUGGCAGACGCGCCAGAUUUAGGUUCUGGUGGGUUUCCCGUGCAGGUUCAAGUCCUGUUGCCCGCACCA
RNAcentral lists this transfer RNA (84 nucleotides) under Acutalibacter sp. Its description in RNAcentral is "tRNA-Leu". It matches the Rfam family "tRNA". Rfam says of the family: Transfer RNA (tRNA) molecules are approximately 80 nucleotides in length. Their secondary structure includes four short double-helical elements and three loops (D, anti-codon, and T loops). Lineage: Bacteria; Bacillati; Bacillota; Clostridia; Eubacteriales; Acutalibacteraceae. The record is from RNAcentral. RNAcentral also lists the same sequence under 2 other names.